UGACUUCAAGUGAUUCGCCCACCUUGGCCUCCCAGAGUGCUGCAAUUACAGGCGUGAGCCACCUUGCCCGGCCCUGAGUGGGACUUAAAUGCAGGUCUAGCCUAAUUUAGAGCUCCAAGCCCGAAUCAAACUUGACUUGUAAAGCCAAUAAAAACCCCUUGGAGAAUUGGCCUCAGAUCUUGUCUGCAACAGUCCCUAUAAAGGAACUGGCCAUAAAGAAAUUCUCUGACAUGCCUGUCUAAUGUGGAUCAUAAGCAUCUUAUUCCAGAGGAGUCCUGCUCUAUACCCAGCAGGAAGGAAUCCUACUCAGAGAGGUCAAGAAGAAUGUAAACAGAUAGGCUUUGCUGGGUUCCCCUUUCAAUCUGUUACCAUUAUAUCAUACCCUUUUUGUCCAAUCACAUUUCUACACAGCUGUCCGUUCUUCAUGGAGCCCAAGCAUAAAAAUACUUUUCCCUGG
Long non-coding RNA from Macaca mulatta (Rhesus monkey), 457 nucleotides. RefSeq lists it as uncharacterized. The record is from RefSeq and is a predicted model, not a curated record. NCBI's taxonomy places the organism in Eukaryota, Metazoa, Chordata, Mammalia, Primates, Cercopithecidae.